UGCCUUCUUUAUGACUUCCAAGCUUCCAUCAUAACAACAUUAAUUGAGAGAUUCAAUCCACAAUCAAAUAAAAGGUAUCUUCUAUUAUUCAUCUAAAACAUUGCCUAUAAUGGAUGUGAGCACCAGCUACAUUCCAGUUUCCUUGGUAAUAAACACUAACAAAAUGACAACAAAAUUCUAUUAUUCUUUAGCUAGAAUUAUUGUACAAACACCUGUACCAACAACCAAUCACCUCAUCACCAUCGCCACCACCGCAAUUGUAAAUGCACCAUCGCCACAUCGCACCCACAACACCACAAUAAACACGAUGACAAGAAAACAAAGGUAGAUUAGAAAUAAACCCAAAUUUCCCCAUAUCAAUUUACCUAGCUAUUAGAAAUCUCCCAAAACUUUGUUCCCACACCAAAUCCAUCACCAAAAGGUCCACCUCAAAUUGCCCAAAAUGCUACCCAAAUUGAAAAUCCGUGCAGCUGCCUUUGCCCAAUGUCAAUGGUGCCACCUCCUUCUAAAGGUCCUCCUCGCUGUGCCAAGCGGCAAUUAUGGGCAAUGAUGUGAGAGUCGCUGCAGCAACUUUGCUCACGCCACCACAUCAAUGUUAUUACCGCAAUUAUGCUCCUUCCAAUGGUUGUGAUGUAGAGAGAAUGGGGAGAGAGAAUGAGAUUU
RNAcentral lists this long non-coding RNA (663 nucleotides) under Olea europaea subsp. europaea. The record is from RNAcentral. Lineage: Eukaryota; Viridiplantae; Streptophyta; Magnoliopsida; Lamiales; Oleaceae.